UUAAGCGACUAAGCGUACACGGUGGAUGCCCUGGCAGUCAGAGGCGAUGAAGGACGUGCUAAUCUGCGAAAAGCGUCGGUAAGGUGAUAUGAACCGUUAUAGCCGGCGAUGUCCGAAUGGGGAAACCCAGUGCAAUUCGUUGCACUAUCGUUAACUGAAUACAUAGGUUAACGAGGCGAACCGGGGGAACUGAAACAUCUAAGUACCCCGAGGAAAAGAAAUCAACCGAGAUUCCCCCAGUAGCGGCGAGCGAACGGGGAGCAGCCCAGAGUCUGAAUCAGCUUGUGUGUUAGUGGAACGGUCUGGAAAGUCCGACGGUACAGGGUGAUAGUCCCGUACACCAAAAUGCACAGGCUGUGAACUCGAAGAGUAGGGCGGGACACGUGGUAUCCUGUCUGAAUAUGGGGGGACCAUCCUCCAAGGCUAAAUACUCCUGACUGACCGAUAGUGAACCAGUACCGUGAGGGAAAGGCGAAAAGAACCCCGGCGAGGGGAGUGAAAAAGAACCUGAAACCGUGUACGUACAAGCAGUGGGAGCACCUUCGGGUGUGACUGCGUACCUUUUGUAUAAUGGGUCAGCGACUUAUAUUCUGUAGCAAGGUUAACCGUAUAGGGGAGCCGCAGGGAAACCGAGUCUUAACUGGGCGUUAAGUUGCAGGGUAUAGACCCGAAACCCGGUGAUCUAGCCAUGGGCAGGUUGAAGGUUGGGUAACACUAACUGGAGGACCGAACCGACUAAUGUUGAAAAAUUAGCGGAUGACUUGUGGCUGGGGGUGAAAGGCCAAUCAAACCGGGAGAUAGCUGGUUCUCCCCGAAAGCUAUUUAGGUAGCGCCUCGUGAACUCAUCUUCGGGGGUAGAGCACUGUUUCGGCUAGGGGGUCAUCCCGACUUACCAACCCGAUGCAAACUACGAAUACCGAAGAAUGUUAUCACGGGAGACACACGGCGGGUGCUAACGUCCGUCGUGAAGAGGGAAACAACCCAGACCGCCAGCUAAGGUCCCAAAGUCAUGGUUAAGUGGGAAACGAUGUGGGAAGGCACAGACAGCCAGGAUGUUGGCUUAGAAGCAGCCAUCAUUUAAAGAAAGCGUAAUAGCUCACUGGUCGAGUCGGCCUGCGCGGAAGAUGUAACGGGGCUAAACCAUGCACCGAAGCUGCGGCAGCGACACUAUGUGUUGUUGGGUAGGGGAGCGUUCUGUAAGCCUGCGAAGGUGUGCUGUGAGGCAUGCUGGAGGUAUCAGAAGUGCGAAUGCUGACAUAAGUAACGAUAAAGCGGGUGAAAAGCCCGCUCGCCGGAAGACCAAGGGUUCCUGUCCAACGUUAAUCGGGGCAGGGUGAGUCGACCCCUAAGGCGAGGCCGAAAGGCGUAGUCGAUGGGAAACAGGUUAAUAUUCCUGUACUUGGUGUUACUGCGAAGGGGGGACGGAGAAGGCUAUGUUAGCCGGGCGACGGUUGUCCCGGUUUAAGCAUGUAGGCUGGUUAUCCAGGCAAAUCCGGAUAAUCAAGGCUGAGGUGUGAUGACGAGGCACUACGGUGCUGAAGUAACAAAUGCCCUGCUUCCAGGAAAAGCCUCUAAGCAUCAGGUAACAUCAAAUCGUACCCCAAACCGACACAGGUGGUCAGGUAGAGAAUACCAAGGCGCUUGAGAGAACUCGGGUGAAGGAACUAGGCAAAAUGGUGCCGUAACUUCGGGAGAAGGCACGCUGGUGUGUAGGUGAAGCCCCUGCGGGUGGAGCUGAGACCAGUCGAAGAUACCAGCUGGCUGCAACUGUUUAUUAAAAACACAGCACUGUGCAAACACGAAAGUGGACGUAUACGGUGUGACGCCUGCCCGGUGCCGGAAGGUUAAUUGAUGGGGUUAUCCGUAAGGAGAAGCUCUUGAUCGAAGCCCCGGUAAACGGCGGCCGUAACUAUAACGGUCCUAAGGUAGCGAAAUUCCUUGUCGGGUAAGUUCCGACCUGCACGAAUGGCGUAAUGAUGGCCAGGCUGUCUCCACCCGAGACUCAGUGAAAUUGAACUCGCUGUGAAGAUGCAGUGUACCCGCGGCAAGACGGAAAGACCCCGUGAACCUUUACUAUAGCUUGACACUGAACAUUGAGCCUUGAUGUGUAGGAUAGGUGGGAGGCUUUGAAGCGUGGACGCCAGUCUGCGUGGAGCCAACCUUGAAAUACCACCCUUUAAUGUUUGAUGUUCUAACGUUGGCCCCUGACCGGGGUUGCGGACAGUGUCUGGUGGGUAGUUUGACUGGGGCGGUCUCCUCCCAAAGCGUAACGGAGGAGCACGAAGGUUAGCUAAUCCUGGUCGGACAUCAGGAGGUUAGUGCAAUGGCAUAAGCUAGCUUGACUGCGAGCGUGACGGCGCGAGCAGGUGCGAAAGCAGGUCAUAGUGAUCCGGUGGUUCUGAAUGGAAGGGCCAUCGCUCAACGGAUAAAAGGUACUCCGGGGAUAACAGGCUGAUACCGCCCAAGAGUUCAUAUCGACGGCGGUGUUUGGCACCUCGAUGUCGGCUCAUCACAUCCUGGGGCUGAAGUAGGUCCCAAGGGUAUGGCUGUUCGCCAUUUAAAGUGGUACGCGAGCUGGGUUUAGAACGUCGUGAGACAGUUCGGUCCCUAUCUGCCGUGGGCGCUGGAGAAUUGAGGGGGGCUGCUCCUAGUACGAGAGGACCGGAGUGGACGCAUCACUGGUGUUCGGGUUGUCAUGCCAAUGGCACUGCCCGGUAGCUAAAUGCGGAAGAGAUAAGUGCUGAAAGCAUCUAAGCACGAAACUUGCCCCGAGAUGAGUUCUCCCUGAGACUUUAAGUCUCCUGAAGGAACGUUGAAGACGACGACGUUGAUAGGCCGGGUGUGUAAGCGCAGCGAUGCGUUGAGCUAACCGGUACUAAUGAACCGUGAGGCUUAACCUU
Molecule: ribosomal RNA, 2900 nt
Filed under: Klebsiella pneumoniae
Lineage: Bacteria; Pseudomonadati; Pseudomonadota; Gammaproteobacteria; Enterobacterales; Enterobacteriaceae
Description: bacterial LSU rRNA
Rfam family: Bacterial large subunit ribosomal RNA
Source: RNAcentral